RNAcentral lists this transfer RNA (22 nucleotides) under Pristimantis supernatis (El Carmelo robber frog). Its description in RNAcentral is "partial tRNA-Phe". Lineage: Eukaryota; Metazoa; Chordata; Amphibia; Anura; Strabomantidae. The record is from RNAcentral.
ACACAUGCAAGUCUCCGCACAC